UCACCUGCUCCUUGUCCUUCACGGACCCUC
RNAcentral lists this small RNA (30 nucleotides) under Bombyx mori (domestic silkworm). RNAcentral's name for it is "ovarian small RNA-6865". Lineage: Eukaryota; Metazoa; Arthropoda; Insecta; Lepidoptera; Bombycidae. The record is from RNAcentral.